UCCAUGGUCCCUAGUAUGGUGAUCUACCUUCAGCUGUUGGAGAUCUAUAGCCUGCUUUUAUAUUAUCUAUUGCCAAAAUAGUGAUAUUAGUUUUAAAUAUCUUCGCAUGUUUU
Molecule: long non-coding RNA, 113 nt
Organism: Haliotis rubra (blacklip abalone)
Lineage: Eukaryota; Metazoa; Mollusca; Gastropoda; Lepetellida; Haliotidae
Exons: 3
Source: RefSeq, a predicted model, not a curated record